This is a long non-coding RNA of Chroicocephalus ridibundus (black-headed gull), 1917 nucleotides long. RefSeq lists it as uncharacterized. The record is from RefSeq and is a predicted model, not a curated record. Lineage: Eukaryota; Metazoa; Chordata; Aves; Charadriiformes; Laridae. The transcript has 9 exons.
CAAAUGAGUUUUGAUUCCCUUCCCUUUAUAAAGUUAAAAUGUUUUUGAGAGAGAAACAGAUCCUCCAGAAUGUGGGUGUCCGAGAUUGUUACCUUGGACUGGCUGUGUUUCUCUCCCUGCUGUCUGUCUGCCUUUCUUUCUGCCUGUCUGUCUUUCCAUUGUAGAGAACAAAGCGGAGUGAUGUAAAAUAGAAAAUGAGAAAUGCAAACCUGUGGUGAUUGAAGAGGAGGAAGGAAAAUGAAAGAGAAAAAGCUGAAGAGUGGGAAAAAGAUAAAAUAAAAUGAAUUUUGGGGAUUCCACUGUGAGUAAGAGCUGAAAAAAAAAUCUGGUGAACUCAAGGGGAACAAGAUUUAAAAGACUGAAUAGGAGGAAUUGAUUCAGAUGAACAGUUCAUCUUAUCACCCUGCCUGCCUCUUCAUGGGCUGGGAGACAGCACGUGUCACCUCCAGCAUCUGCCGUGGGUAUGGUGAUCAGAUAUCCCGACCACGGGAGGAAGUAUUGCUGGGUUUGGAGACAGCUCCGUAUUUGAAGAGUUUUAUCAAGGUUACAUAUAAAUCCGUGAGAUGCCGUUGAUUGAAUGACGGUCCCCAAAUAUUGCAAAGUGGCGCAGUGCUCUUAACGGCACCUAUGGUGAGCUGCACUAGGCCAGAGACAUCCUGGACUGCCCUGCUCUGAACACCAAGUUUGUUAACUGAUAAUCUGCUGUAACCUCCUCUGUCCGGGGUUGAAGAGUUUCUUUGUGGCUGUCUGAAAUGUAUCAUGCUCACCAGUCUAGAGAAGGCUUCUUGGAGGAGCUCACCAGUUCCACCAGCUCCUGUUGCAGGAAUAUCCAUUAAACAAGAGGGAGAAAUGCACAAAGCAAAGGAUGAUACUGAAGCUUCUCUUUUUUUCAUUUGGCUGAAGGCGCAAAACUUCAUCCAUUUUCUUCACUAUGAAGCCCAGCCUCCAGGCAGUGAUGCAGCAGAGAAGAUGAUGUUUGUAUGGUGGUAACCACACAAGGCCUCUAAUGAAAUCAAGAUGGUCUUUGGUACAGGAGUCUUUGCAGUCCCAUCUCUUUGAGGGCAGUCCUACAAAAUGUGGUCUCAUCCCCCAGGAUUCUUUUCUCCCUGCUUCAAGAUAGUGCUUGAAUCUGGUGAAAAAAAGCAAACGUUGUGAGUGCUGGAGGGGCUUGUGCACUACUUCAAAGGCAGAAUGGAAACCAAGAGUGAAGCAACACAGAGAAGGGAGUGGACGGAGGCAGACAGAGAGAGGAGCUGCCGCAGCGGUAACAGUGCAAGCUCAGGCAAGGGAGAGUUUUUCCUGGAUACAGAAAUCUGCAGCUCUCAUGGCAUUUUUAGGUGUGUUGCUGUCAAUCAACUGGUUCAUGCAGAAAGCUCUCCAGAGCGGACCCGAGGCCACAGCACAUCCUUCAGUGCCUGGGCACUUGCACCAUGAAGCCUUUUGUGCUGUUGCUCACGUUGCAGUUUUGCACCGAAGGGUCGCCUCAGCCCGUCUGGUAACAGCACCGCCUGGGACAUAAGUCUCCUGGACACCAGGGGGGACCAGAAAGGAGUUGUUGAAUAAUUAAAGCCACUUUACAUCAAGGGUGAUCCAUAGAGGAAGUCAUUUUGCAUGUGAAAAGCUGCAACGAGUGGAAGACUUUGGGGUAUCGGCAGUCAGCAGUGAACAACUGAGAUUGGUAAUGCUACAGUAAGCCGCCUCCUUUGCGCAGCUCCACAGGAUCAUGGAAGGAGGCCAAUUGCUGGAUUUCUGUACUUUAUCUUGAUUAAACGGCUGUUUCAAUUUGGUAUUCACUCCUUUCAUAUUUGUAAUCACUUUAAGAUUUUCAUUUUAUAGUAUUCACUUAUUUAACUGCUUGUUUCCUGCCAAGUCUAAAAAAAGAAAGGCUUUUCCCUCCCUUCUCCUUUCUGAGCUGCA